RNAcentral lists this ribosomal RNA (433 nucleotides) under uncultured bacterium. RNAcentral's name for it is "partial 16S ribosomal RNA". It matches the Rfam family "Bacterial small subunit ribosomal RNA", at positions 29 to 507 of the family's 1533-position model. The record is from RNAcentral.
AACGAACGCUGGCGGCAGGCCUAACACAUGCAAGUCGAGCGCGCCCUUCGGGGUGAGCGGCGGACGGGUGAGUAACGCGUGGGAACGUGCCCUUUUCUACGGAAUAGCCUCGGGAAACUGAGAGUAAUACCGCAUACGCCCAUUGGGGGAAAGAUCUAUCGGAAAAGGAUCGGCCCGCGUUGGCUUCGGUGGUUGGUGGGGUAAUGGCCUACCAAGCGGACGAUCCAUAGCUGGUUGGGGAGGAUGCUCGGCCACGCUGGGACUGAGACACGGCCCAGACUCCUACGGGAGGCAGCAGUAGGGAAUCUUAGGCAAUGGGGGCAACUCUGAUCUAGCCAUGCCGCGUGAGUGAUGAAGGCCUUAGGGUUGUGAAGCUCUUUGAGCUGGGAAGAUAAUGACGGUACCAGCAGAAGAAGCCCCGGCUAACUCCGUG